GCCUCUGGUCGAUGGAAC
Molecule: small nuclear RNA, 18 nt
Filed under: Arabidopsis thaliana (thale cress)
Lineage: Eukaryota; Viridiplantae; Streptophyta; Magnoliopsida; Brassicales; Brassicaceae
Description: snRNA_11582
Source: RNAcentral